ACGAAUGGCGUAAUGAUGGCCAGGCUGUCUCCACCCGAGACUCAGUGAAAUUGAACUCGCUGUGAAGAUGCAGUGUACCCGCGGCAAGACGGAAAGACCCCGUGAACCUUUACUAUAGCUUGACACUGAACAUUGAGCCUUGAUGUGUAGGAUAGGUGGGAGGCUUUGAAGUGUGGACGCCAGUCUGCAUGGAGCCGACCUUGAAAUACCACCCUUUAAUGUUUGAUGUUCUAACGUGGACCCGUAAUCCGGGUUGCGGACAGUGUCUGGUGGGUAGUUUGACUGGGGCGGUCUCCUCCUAAAGAGUAACGGAGGAGCACGAAGGUUGGCUAAUCCUGGUCGGACAUCAGGAGGUUAGUGCAAUGGCAUAAGCCAGCUUGACUGCGAGCGUGACGGCGCGAGCAGGUGCGAAAGCAGGUCAUAGUGAUCCGGUGGUUCUGAAUGGAAGGGCCAUCGCUCAACGGAUAAAAGGUACUCCGGGGAUAACAGGCUGAUACCGCCCAAGAGUUCAUAUCGACGGCGGUGUUUGGCACCUCGAUGUCGGCUCAUCACAUCCUGGGGCUGAAGUAGGUCCCAAGGGUAUGGCUGUUCGCCAUUUAAAGUGGUACGCGAGCUGGGUUUAGAACGUCGUGAGACAGUUCGGUCCCUAUCUGCCGUGGGCGCUGGAGAAUUGAGGGGGGCUGCUCCUAGUACGAGAGGACCGGAGUGGACGCAUCACUGGUGUUCGGGUUGUCAUGCCAAUGGCACUGCCCGGUAGCUAAAUGCGGAAGAGAUAAGUGCUGAAAGCAUCUAAGCACGAAACUUGCCCCGAGAUGAGUUCUCCCUGACUCCUUGAGAGUCCUGAAGGAACGUUGAAGACGACGACGUUGAUAGGCCGGGUGUGUAAGCGCAGCGAUGCGUUGAGCUAACCGGUACUAAUGAACCGUGAGGCUUAACCUUACAACGCCGAAG
Molecule: ribosomal RNA, 951 nt
Filed under: Escherichia coli
Lineage: Bacteria; Pseudomonadati; Pseudomonadota; Gammaproteobacteria; Enterobacterales; Enterobacteriaceae
Description: partial 23S ribosomal RNA
Rfam family: Bacterial large subunit ribosomal RNA
Source: RNAcentral